UACGUAGGCAGCAAGCGUUGUUCGGAAUUAUUGGGCGUAAGGGGCGCGUAGGCGGUUCGUACAGUCAGACGUGAAAUUCCUGGGCUCAACCUGGGGGCUGCGUUUGAUACGUGCGGACUUGAGUGCGGAAGAGGGUCGUGGAAUUCCCAGUGUAGAGGUGAAAUUCGUAGAUAUUGGGAAGAACACCGGUGGCGAAGGCGGCGACCUGGUCCGAUACUGACGCUGAGGCGCGAAAGCGUGGGUAGCAAACAGG
RNAcentral lists this ribosomal RNA (253 nucleotides) under uncultured bacterium. RNAcentral's name for it is "partial 16S ribosomal RNA". It matches the Rfam family "Bacterial small subunit ribosomal RNA", at positions 524 to 776 of the family's 1533-position model. The record is from RNAcentral.